This is a non-coding RNA of Stegodyphus mimosarum, 73 nucleotides long. Lineage: Eukaryota; Metazoa; Arthropoda; Arachnida; Araneae; Eresidae. The record is from Rfam.
ACCUUCGUGGUGUAGUGGUCAGCACGCUGGGUGCGUUUUCUGGAGGUUCGUGGUUCGAGUCCCGCCGAAGGCA